This is a long non-coding RNA of Bactrocera dorsalis (oriental fruit fly), 1927 nucleotides long. RefSeq lists it as uncharacterized. Lineage: Eukaryota; Metazoa; Arthropoda; Insecta; Diptera; Tephritidae. The record is from RefSeq and is a predicted model, not a curated record. The transcript is spliced from 2 exons.
AUUAUACAAAUAAAACUUUUUGAUCUGUUGAACUUCAUCAGGAGCACAGGGUGUUUCAGAGAAGACAAAAUGAAGUGAGUAUAUUUUAGUUCCCUUGGCUUCACAAUGGGCCUCCUAAAAGUUUAUGUGCGCAGUCAGUAAUCCACUCUACCUAGCUAUCUACGUAGCCCUUUACUUUUCAUCAUAUUCCAAAAAAUAUUUUAAAACCUUGACUUUCAAAAAGCAUAGCCUAACAAUGUUUACUUUUAUUCUAAACUAUUAUUAUUUAAUUUUAACACCGGCGUAUUUCUUAGAUAAACUGCAGCUGUAGCAAAAAUAGGCGUAUACUCUUACUUAUACAGCUGUUUUGAAAGUAAAUAUACGAAAACACAAUAAUAACGAAGGUUUAACAACGUAAAAGUGGUUCAAAUUCGAAUGUUCGUGACAUUUAGAAUAUUGACAUUGUACGCGUAUGAGAAAACACUUGAGUAAACAACUUCUUACGCCUCUUCAGCGCUGGUUUGGUAACUUCAGUAGCUUAAAGGUUGCUAUCAUAAAAAUGUCAGAAUUGUGUCAAAUUUGUCAGUGUCAAAAGAUAUAGCGAAUCUAUAGGUAUUUCCGUUACAUAAAUUUAUAUGUUAUGUCUAGUAUAUUCAUAGUAAGUUUAUCUACUUUUUCAGUGUUCCGAUAAUUUUUCCACUUUGCAGCCGUCAAGACAUUGAGAAAACGAACCUUAAUCUCUUAUAAACUUUGCUUUCGAUUGUAGGCAAAAAAAACAGCUGAUUUAACUGACAUUUGUGUCCGAAGAAUGUUCAGAAAUAGACUUUAUCUAAAAGUGGAACGCAUUCGCUAUCUAAUUCCCAGCUUUCUCAAGCUAUGAGCACUUUCCAGGAUCGAAUAAAAAGGGUUAUUCAAAACCCCCAAUUCUUAUCGAAAAUCCCGAAAAACAUCUUUUUAUCUAAGUGGAGAACAAUUAAAAGUCUUGUCACUAGACUUUUCUAAAAACGUUUGUCAAAAUAUAUUGGAAACAUAAAAAAGAUCUUGAUCUUGAAAAAUUUCCAGCUGGGACAGUUUCAGACAAUUGUAAAAAAAUUUCUUAGCAGUUGGGUUAAGUAAAUAUCUAAAGUAAAAAUAUGCACAUACACAAAUAUAUAAAAAGUAUAGACUCUAAAUGAAAAAUAAAAUUUUUGUCUGAGUUUUUGAAAAACAUAAUAAAAAUAUUUCACUUUCUACCUUCAUUCAUGAAACAAGUGGAAAGCUUCUAUUAGUACUAACGUGUAUACUAAGCUGGUACUUAGAAAAGUUCUUGAAGCGUACAAUCACAAAAUAAAUAAUUGAAAUAAAGAAUGGACUGAUUUGAGUGAGCUUUAUGUGUAUAUAAUAUAAAUAAAAAAACAAAGUGAUCGAUUAGGCAUACAAAUAUACAUAACCAACAGGCUGUGCAUUUUUCAAUUUGUUGAGUGCAAAUAUUUGGAAAGAGUUUUUAAGAAAGUUCGCUCGAACUGCAAACUAAAUUCGUUGCAAUGGCGGUAAAAUUUGUGCUCUUAAUUUUUCUGGCAAUACUGGCGUAUUUGGUAGCGCCCAUACAUGCGUAUGUUUUGCCAGAUCCUUGGCUGGAUAUCGACCCCCAGCUACUCGGAGCGUUUUCUACGAAAUAUGACAAAAGACACCAUCAUGUAGUGAAGAAAGAACUGAAGCCAGCUAACUACGAAUAUGUGGAAUCACUGCACGACUGGGUGCCUGUGUGAAGAGAUGUUGCAGCGUACUCAGUGGCGAAUAUAUUAUACUUUAGUUAUAAGAAUAUGUAUUAGAAUAUGACAAAUUAAUUUAAGUAAAUAGAAAAUAUUUAGUCACAAAGCUAUGAAAAAAUUGGUCUGAAAUGUGGAUAUUAAUAAAAUUGGGCGAUGAAGUACCAUCAAGGAUCAGUGCUUAUCGGAGGUAUAGCGAA